AGUUCCCAGAUUCACAUUGAAUUUCCAUCAUGGAGCUGGUCCUUGAGGCGGGCCCAGGGCAUGGGAAAGGAGGGAGGGAGGGUUGGGAGCUCUUGGCGCCUGCUUAAAGAGACAGCAUCAGGAUCAAUACAGUCCCUUGAUGAACCUGGAUCUGUGCUUGUUAGAGUGCUGUGCAAGAUGUCUGGUAGGGGCCCCCUUUGCUUCCCUGGUGGCCACUGGAUUGUGUUUCUUUGGGGUGGCACUGUUCUGUGGCUGUGGACAUGAAGCCCUCACUGGCACAGAAAAGCUAAUUGAGACCUAUUUCUCCAAAAACUACCAGGACUAUGAGUAUCUCAUCAAUGUGAUCCAUGCCUUCCAGUAUGUCAUCUAUGGAACUGCCUCUUUCUUCUUCCUUUAUGGGGCCCUCCUGCUGGCUGAGGGCUUCUACACCACCGGCGCAGUCAGGCAGAUCUUUGGCGACUACAAGACCACCAUCUGCGGCAAGGGCCUGAGCGCAACGUUUGUGGGCAUCACCUAUGCCCUGACCGUUGUGUGGCUCCUGGUGUUUGCCUGCUCUGCUGUGCCUGUGUAUAUUUACUUCAACACCUGGACCACCUGCCAGUCUAUUGCCUUCCCCAGCAAGACCUCUGCCAGUAUAGGCAGUCUCUGUGCUGAUGCCAGAAUGUAUGGUG
Molecule: small RNA, 671 nt
Filed under: Pongo abelii (Sumatran orangutan)
Lineage: Eukaryota; Metazoa; Chordata; Mammalia; Primates; Hominidae
Description: processed transcript
Source: RNAcentral